AUUGAACGCUGGCGGCAGGCCUAACACAUGCAAGUCGAACGAGAGGCGGACGGGUGAGUAAUGUAUGGGAAACUGCCCGAUGGAGGGGGUUAAAAACUGGAAACGGUAGCUAAUACCGCAUACCAUCGGAUGUGCCCAGAUGGGAUUCGCUAGUAGGUGGGGUCACGGCUAACCUAGGCAACGAUCCCUAUCUGGUCUGAGAGGAGGACCAGCCACACUGGAUCUUAGAGCCGUUCCAGACUCCUCCGUGAGGCAGCAGUGGGGAAUAUUGCCCAAUGGGCGCAAGCCUGGUGCAGCGUUGCCGCGUGUAUGAAGAAGGCCUUCGGGUUGUAAAGUACUGUCAGCGAGGAGGCGUUACUCGCAGAAGAAGCACCGGCUAACUCCGUGCCAGCAGCCGCGGUAAUAC
Molecule: ribosomal RNA, 406 nt
Filed under: uncultured bacterium
Lineage: Bacteria
Description: partial 16S ribosomal RNA
Rfam family: Bacterial small subunit ribosomal RNA
Source: RNAcentral